UCCUACGGGACGCAGCAGUGGGGAAUAUUGCACAAUGGGGGAAACCCUGAUGCAGCGACGCCGCGUGAGUGAAGAAGUAUUUCGGUAUGUAAAGCUCUAUCAGCAGGAACGAGACAAGACGGUACCUGACUAAGAAGCCCCGGCUAACUACGUGCCAGCAGCCGCGGUAAUACGUAGGGGGCAAGCGUUAUCCGGAAUCACUGGGUGUAAAGGGAGCGCAGGCGGUGCGGCAAGUCUGAUGUGAAAGCCCGGGGCUCAACCCCGGGACUGCCUUGGAAACUACCGAACUAGAGUGUCGGAGAGGG
This 305-nucleotide ribosomal RNA is filed under the name uncultured bacterium. Its description in RNAcentral is "bacterial SSU rRNA". It matches the Rfam family "Bacterial small subunit ribosomal RNA", at positions 337 to 658 of the family's 1533-position model. The record is from RNAcentral.